GUUGGUGGAGGAACGGAGCAUCCUGGGAAUUGUAGUCCUCAAUCCCUAAGGCUCUGGAAACCAGGAAAGCGAAAUGGGAAUUGUUUUACGAACCCUAGAAUGAGGCCUGAGGCUUCGCGGGUAUCGCCAGUAUUGUCCGCCCCGCCGCAUAAUGGGUACCGGGAGCACAGAGAUGACUUGAACGUGGAUCCAGCUCCAAGAAGGCAGAAUAUUUUCACCAGGAGUCAUACCCUUACACGCUGAAGCACAGGCAAGAAACUGAAAUGAAUGGAGCAGGCUGGGUGAAAGGUAGUGGGGAACGCAUUUUAGCUGAAAGGUAACGUAGGGGAUUGUGGCCAGUGAAGAGCUGGGGUGAUAAAUGCUGAGGCAGACCUGGAAUUUGUUCUUUUUUUAGUCACAGAGACUUGUGUUCAAGAUGGAAGCCCAAGGAAAUAUUGGAGGUUCAUACCCAAACCCCCAAAUACAUAUAUACACUCAGCAAAAUACUAA
Non-coding RNA from Microcebus murinus (gray mouse lemur), 489 nucleotides. The record is from RefSeq and is a predicted model, not a curated record. NCBI's taxonomy places the organism in Eukaryota, Metazoa, Chordata, Mammalia, Primates, Cheirogaleidae.